RNAcentral lists this unclassified non-coding RNA (334 nucleotides) under soil metagenome. RNAcentral describes it as "partial contains 5.8S ribosomal RNA, internal transcribed spacer 2, and large subunit ribosomal RNA". The stretch from base 1 to 120 matches the Rfam family "5.8S ribosomal RNA", at positions 35 to 154 of the family's 154-position model. The record is from RNAcentral.
GAUGAAGAACGCAGCGAAAUGCGAUAAGUAAUGUGAAUUGCAGAAUUCAGUGAAUCAUCGAAUCUUUGAACGCACAUUGCGCCCGCCAGUAUUCUGGCGAGCAUGCCUGUUCGAGCGUCAUUUCAACCAUCAAGCCCCAGGCUUGUGUUGGAGCCCUGCGGCCGCCGCAGCCUCCCAAAACCAGUGGCGGGCUCGCUAUCACACCGAGUGCAGUAGUUUACUCUUCGCUCAGGGCGUGUGGCGGGUGCUAGCCGUGAAACCCCCAACUUCUCAAGGUUGACCUCGGAUCAGGUAGGAAUACCCGCUGAACUUAAGCAUAUCAAUAAGCGGAGGA